AGAGCGAACGCUGGCGGCAGGCCUAACACAUGCAAGUCGAGCGCCCGUAGCAAUACGGGAGCGGCAGACGGGAGAGUAACACGUGGGAACGCGCCCUUCGGUUCGGAAUAACUCAGGGAAACUUGAGCUAAUACCGGAUACGCCCUUACGGGGAAAGAUUUAUUGCCGAAGGAACGGCCCGCGUCCGAUUAGCUUGUUGGUGAGGUAAUGGCUCACCAAGGCGACGAUCGGUAGCUGGUCUGAGAGGAUGACCAGCCUCACUGGGACUGAGACACGGCCCAGACUCCUACGGGAGGCAGCAGUGGGGAAUAUUGGACAAUGGGCGCAAGCCUGAUCCAGCCAUGCCGCGUGGAUGAUGAAGGCCCUAGGGUUGUAAAGUCCUUUUAACGGGAGAUAAUGACGUACCGUAGAAUAAGCCCGGCUAACUUCCGUGCCAGCAGCCGC
RNAcentral lists this ribosomal RNA (444 nucleotides) under uncultured bacterium. Its description in RNAcentral is "SSU rRNA". It matches the Rfam family "Bacterial small subunit ribosomal RNA", at positions 26 to 518 of the family's 1533-position model. The record is from RNAcentral.